RNAcentral lists this ribosomal RNA (279 nucleotides) under uncultured bacterium. RNAcentral's name for it is "partial 16S ribosomal RNA". It matches the Rfam family "Bacterial small subunit ribosomal RNA", at positions 506 to 784 of the family's 1533-position model. The record is from RNAcentral.
UGCCAGCAGCCGCGGUAAUACGAAGGGCCCGAGCGUUGCGCGGAAUCACUGGGCUUAAAGCGUGCGUAGGCGGGCGUGCAGGCGUCUUGUGAAAUCCCUCGGCUCAACCGGGGAAUUGCUCGACGAACCGCACGUCUCGAGGCAGGUAGGGGCUGUCGGAACGAUAGGUGGAGUGGUGAAAUGCGUUGAUAUCUAUCGGAACACCGAAGGAGAAAUCAGGCAGCUGGGCCUGACCUGACGCUGAGGCACGAAAGCGUGGGGAGCGAACGGGAUUAGAUA